CCAGGUGCUGCACGGCUGUCGUCAGCUCGUGUCGUGAGAUGUUGGGUUAAGUCCCGCAACGAGCGCAACCCACGUCGUUAGUUACUAACAGUCGGCUGAGGACUCUAACCGAGACUGCCUGUACCAGGAGGAAGGUGUGGAUGACGUCAAGUCAUCAUGGCCCUUACGGCCAGGGCUACACACGUGCUACAAUGGCAAGUACAGAGGGCAGCAAUACCGCGAGGUGGAGCGAAUCCCACAAAGCUUGUCGUAGUCCGGAUUGGAGUCUGCAACUCGACUCCAUGAAGUCGGAAUCGCUAGUAAUCGUAGAUCAGAAUGCUACGGUGAAUACGUUCCCGGGCCUUGUACACACCGCCCGUCACA
RNAcentral lists this ribosomal RNA (363 nucleotides) under uncultured Alteromonadales bacterium. Its description in RNAcentral is "bacterial SSU rRNA". It matches the Rfam family "Bacterial small subunit ribosomal RNA", at positions 1034 to 1401 of the family's 1533-position model. Lineage: Bacteria; Pseudomonadati; Pseudomonadota; Gammaproteobacteria; Alteromonadales. The record is from RNAcentral.